GGGGAUAAAGCUCAGUUGGUAGAGUACUUGUCUCACAAGCACAAGGCUCUGGGUUCAAUCCCCAGCACCA
Ictidomys tridecemlineatus (thirteen-lined ground squirrel) is the source of this 70-nucleotide non-coding RNA. NCBI's taxonomy places the organism in Eukaryota, Metazoa, Chordata, Mammalia, Rodentia, Sciuridae. The record is from Rfam.